This 286-nucleotide unclassified non-coding RNA is filed under the name Basidiomycota sp. RNAcentral's name for it is "partial contains small subunit ribosomal RNA, internal transcribed spacer 1, and 5.8S ribosomal RNA". The stretch from base 1 to 47 matches the Rfam family "Eukaryotic small subunit ribosomal RNA", at positions 1785 to 1831 of the family's 1831-position model. Lineage: Eukaryota; Fungi; Basidiomycota. The record is from RNAcentral.
AAAGUCGUAACAAGGUUUCCGUAGGUGAACCUGCGGAAGGAUCAUUGCUGAUGCCGGCGGCACGGUCGAUCCCUCGCGAGGGGGUGAGGCCGCUGCCGCUUUCAACAUCAUCUGCCCCUUUGUGAACCCGGCAUUGGAGCGCCGUCGUGGCGAGCGAGCUUUGGGGCCCGCUCUGUCCUGGUCUCCUCUGCCCAAACAACCUGUCUUUUAUUGCCUGUCUCCCCAGACUGAAGCAACAAAAACAAAACAUAUCUUACAACUUUUAACAAUGGAUAUCUUGGCUCGC